RNAcentral lists this ribosomal RNA (491 nucleotides) under uncultured bacterium. RNAcentral's name for it is "partial 16S ribosomal RNA". It matches the Rfam family "Bacterial small subunit ribosomal RNA", at positions 30 to 507 of the family's 1533-position model. The record is from RNAcentral.
AGUGAACGCUGGCGGUAGGCCUAACACAUGCAAGUCGAACGGCAGCACAGUAAGAGCUUGCUCUUACGGGUGGCGAGUGGCGGACGGGUGAGGAAUACAUCGGAAUCUACUUUUCCGUGGGGGAUAACGUAGGGAAACUUACGCUAAUACCGCAUACGACCUACGGGUGAAAGCAGGGGAUCUUCGGACCUUGCGCGAUUGAAUGAGCCGAUGUCGGAUUAGCUAGUUGGCGGGGUAAAGGCCCACCAAGGCGACGAUCCGUAGCUGGUCUGAGAGGAUGAGCAGCAAAGUGGGAAGUGAGAAACGGGCCGGACACCGACGGGAGGACGGAGGGGGAAGAUUGGACAAUGGGCGCAAGUCUGAGACAGCCAUAGCGGGUGGGUGAAGAAGGCCGUCGGGUUGGAGAGACAUUUUGUGGGGAAAGAAAAGAAGCAGGGGAAUACCGCGGUGUUAGGACGGGAAACAAAGAAUAAGCACCGGCUAACUUCGUG